AAACAACUCUCUGCACAUUCAAAAACUCACUGCAGUGAAAAUUUGCCAAGCAGUUCUGAAUACCACACUACUUCUACACAUUGGACAGACUGCAAAGAUCUGGGGCCUAAAAGGAGUGGCAAGGGGAAGUACUAGAUCUUCCAGAAAAAUCAGAAGUUCCUGUGGAUGAGUCUCCAUUCUCUUUCAAGAAAAAGCUGGAUCAGUUUUCUAGCAAAUCAAUAAAGCCAGGAAACGGGAUAACUGUGGACUUCCUGUGACGCUGCUACCCAAAUAAAAGCACAGCU
This is a long non-coding RNA of Girardinichthys multiradiatus, 284 nucleotides long. RefSeq lists it as uncharacterized. The transcript is spliced from 3 exons. NCBI's taxonomy places the organism in Eukaryota, Metazoa, Chordata, Actinopteri, Cyprinodontiformes, Goodeidae. The record is from RefSeq and is a predicted model, not a curated record.